RNAcentral lists this ribosomal RNA (460 nucleotides) under uncultured bacterium. RNAcentral describes it as "partial 16S ribosomal RNA". It matches the Rfam family "Bacterial small subunit ribosomal RNA", at positions 338 to 795 of the family's 1533-position model. The record is from RNAcentral.
CCUACGGGAGGCAGCAGUGAGGAAUAUUGGUCAAUGGGCGGGAGCCUGAACCAGCCAAGUCGCGUGAGGGAAGACGGUCCUAUGGAUUGUAAACCUCUUUAGGCGUGGCGCAAUGCCGGGCACGCGUGCCCGGAGGGAGAGUACCCGCAGAAUAAGCAUCGGCUAACUCCGUGCCAGCAGCCGCGGUAAUACGGGGGAUGCGAGCGUUAUCGGGAUUGAUUGGGUUUAAAGGGUGCGUGGGCGGGUUUUUAAUUCAGCGGUAAAAUGUCGGGGCUCAACCCGGGCCGGCCGUUGAAACUGGGGAUCUUGAGUGUGCUAGAGGUAUGCGGAAUGCGUGGUGUAGCGGUGAAAUGCAUAGAUAUCACGCAGAACUCCGAUUGCGAAGGCAGCAUACCGGAGCCCGACUGACGCUGAGGCACGAAAGCGUGGGGAUCGAACAGGAUUAGAUACCCCUGUAGUC